AUCCAGCUGACGAGUCCCACAUAAGAUGAAACGCACGUACUGGAU
Non-coding RNA from Schistosoma margrebowiei, 45 nucleotides. NCBI's taxonomy places the organism in Eukaryota, Metazoa, Platyhelminthes, Trematoda, Strigeidida, Schistosomatidae. The record is from Rfam.